UUUAUACUCUCAGCCAAUUGCAAAAGCUGCUUCCUUUCCUGUCCCACCUACCACUUCCUCUCAUUUUGUCUCUGUCUCUUUCGUCAUUACUCACUCACUCUGUUCCUGUACUCGCAGAUCAGCGUGCUUGGCUGAAAAUGGAAUUGAUGAGCUGGGAGAAAACAAUUGCUUUGGACCAAUGCCAUGUUCCAGAUAUGGGGAGCAAUGAGCUGAUGGUGGAGAGGCUGGAGACUGACUCCCCAACCCCACAAAACAAUUGGGGCUGAAGUGGACAAACAAAGUAACUGAAUCUUGAAAAUGGGCCGAAAUGAAACAUCCCGGACCUGAGCACCCAAGCCAGUAGGGUAAGGGUCUCCAGGUGGAGUUGGGAAGCCCGGGAGCCCAUGCUGGAACACAAGGAAUUUGGGGACAGGAACUCUGAAAACAAAAUUGGCUGGUUUUGCUUCUCCCUCCUCACCCUGGAUCCCUUAUAGGAAUCACAAAUGGUGUGUGUGUGGGAUAUCAGACUUGACUACCCUUUGUGGAAUCCUAUGCGUAAGGUGAAUUCCCUUUAUGUAAUGGAGAUCUGCCUACCAGACUACAAGUGCAUUAGCAGUGCAAACCAUGCUAUGCUGCCAGAAACCAAGGGGACUCUUCUGACAGAAGAAGAAGAAGAUGAAAAGUUGAACUGUGAAACAUUUCAGAACUGGGCUUGCUGCAGUUCCAAGGAAGCAUUCACCCACAUGGGCAGCUCCAAGUAACAGCUCAUUUCUCUGGACUACAAUUCUGAGAAGUGUUGAAUCCCCUCUGAGCUACAGGGACAGUUUAUGUAAAGAGGUUUAGCAUGGUGAGUGGAGUAUACAUACACACAGUGAUACAGACACCAUAGAGCCCUGCACAAAAACCUUGAACAUAACAAACACUCUUUUUCCCUCAGGCAAAUGUCUAGCCCUUGGGGUUUUUGCCAUUUUCAGAGGAAGUUACAUGAAAAGACAGAAGAAAGGGCCAGGAAAUGUUCGUCAAUGUUUUUGUGUAAAAUAAAUAAAUAAAUAAAUAAAAUCUUAAUUACGAUUGAUUUAUUUAAAUCCCUUGUUUUUCGUUUAUUGUGACGGGAAAGGGAGAUAUUAUGCAUAUGUUAUUGUGUUGGUUUAAUAAUAAUAUUUUAAAUACUUAUUUUACCUUUGCACAUUUCUUUAUAUGCUGUCGAGUGCACAUGCCUAAUUACUCUAUACAGGGUUUUAUCCUCAUUAGUUAAAUUAAAGAAGGAAAACAUCCAUAACUAUUUUUAUUAUUUUCAGAACGGAGGGUCACCUUACUACAUGGUCCCACAUACGGCAUGUUGCUGUUCUUUGGGACCCCUAAUCAAUCCUCCUCAACCCACUGGCAGAUCUUGGCUUUGAGGAACGGAAUUUGUUUCUGAAAGCAGGAAAUUUUGGGAGUCAAGCAUCAAAAUUCUUCUGUAAGGCCCUGAUCCUACAGAAACUGAGCAUGUGUUUCAGUUUACACAUUGUAAUAGAUCCACUGAAAUGUUAAUAGGGCUAUCCAGCGGGACAGAUCCUCAGCUGGUGUAAAUUUUCAUAUUGGCUUCAAAGGUGCCAGGACCCUUUACACCAACUGAGAAUCUGCCUCAGGGUGUAGGAAGUUGAGCAUGUUUGUAAGUCUUUGCAGGACCAAGGAUUCCAUAUUUUAAUUAUAAAGGCUCGAAGAGACAACAAAAAUCAUGCCUCUUUGAGCUAAUUUUCUUGUUCUGCAGCUAAAAUGUAAAUCACCUUUUGCAUGGAAAAGGUUUUUGAUUUAGCACAAGAUUACAGCAGAAACUGGAGAUGAAUAAUUAAUCUAACCCAGACUCAGAAUAAAAUAAAUACACCCUAGCAGUUGUUUCAAUUUUUUCUAGAGAGGUUCUUGCACAGCUGUAUAGCACUGUGGACUCCGAUGCUGUCUUUAAAUGGACCAAAGUCUCUCUAAUACCAAGAGAUCAAACACCUUCCAAGCCCUCCAUCUCCAUUAUGGAGUCAGAAAAUGAGAGCAUUGCUGCUUGCCUGGCGAAAGAUUUCUACCCUAAAGAGCUGAAGAUAUUCAUGAAUUCUAACAGUGAAAUUAUAUAUGAAGCAACAGACCCGAUCCUCACAUCUAGUGGGAAAUACAGUGCUGUCAAAAUUGUCAAGUUCUCUUCAACUGAACUAGUGUCUUGCUACGUUCAACAUAACGGCAAAAUGAUUAAGAAAACCCAAACAGCUGAGAAGCCGCCAGAUUUCACAUCUCCUGCUCCAACGAUCAUUGUGCCUGAGCCGUGCAACAUUUCAACCCCCAGCCUCGAAGAUUUCACAUCUGCUCCAACAAUCAUCGUGUCCGAGCCGUGCAACAUUUCAACCCCCAGCCUCGAAGGUUAGUACCCAAACGAGUGAUUAUGUUGCUGCAAGACUUUAUGGCCAACAGGCAACUUG
Chrysemys picta bellii (western painted turtle) is the source of this 2423-nucleotide non-coding RNA. The record is from RefSeq and is a predicted model, not a curated record. Lineage: Eukaryota; Metazoa; Chordata; Testudines; Emydidae.